Nicotiana attenuata is the source of this 129-nucleotide microRNA precursor. The record is from Rfam. Lineage: Eukaryota; Viridiplantae; Streptophyta; Magnoliopsida; Solanales; Solanaceae.
AAGAGAAGAGCAUGUUAAGAUAGCCAAGAAGGCUGCCUGAAACCAAGUAAAAAUAGUGUAAUCAAACACCUUUUAACAUAGUGGAGCAGGCAAGUCAUCCUUGGCUACUAAACAAUAUGACUCUCCUCU